RNAcentral lists this ribosomal RNA (433 nucleotides) under uncultured bacterium. Its description in RNAcentral is "partial 16S ribosomal RNA". It matches the Rfam family "Bacterial small subunit ribosomal RNA", at positions 29 to 507 of the family's 1533-position model. The record is from RNAcentral.
AACGAACGCUGGCGGCAUGCCUAACACAUGCAAGUCGAACGAGACCUUCGGGUCUAGUGGCGCACGGGUGCGUAACGCGUGGGAACCUGCCCUUAGGUUCGGAAUAACUCCCCGAAAGGGGUGCUAAUACCGGAUAAUGUCUUAGGACCAAAGAUUUAUCGCCUUUGGAUGGGCCCGCGUUGGAUUAGCUAGUUGGUAGGGUAAAAGCCUACCAAGGCGACGAUCCAUAGCUGGUCUGAGAGGAUGAUCAGCCACACUGGGACUGAGACACGGCCCAGACUCCUACGGGAGGCAGCAGUGGGGAAUAUUGGACAAUGGGCGAAAGCCUGAUCCAGCAAUGCCGCGUGAGUGAUGAAGGCCUUAGGGUUGUAAAGCUCUUGUACCCGGGAUGAUAAUGACAGUACCGGGAGAAUAAGCUCCGGCUAACUCCGUG